RNAcentral lists this ribosomal RNA (497 nucleotides) under uncultured bacterium. Its description in RNAcentral is "partial 16S ribosomal RNA". It matches the Rfam family "Bacterial small subunit ribosomal RNA", at positions 28 to 507 of the family's 1533-position model. The record is from RNAcentral.
GAUGAACGCUGGCGGCGUGCCUAAUACAUGCAAGUCGAGCGAACAGACGAGGAGCUUGCUCCUCUGACGUUAGCGGCGGACGGGUGAGUAACACGUGGAUAACCUACCUAUAAGACUGGGAUAACUUCGGGAAACCGGCGCUAAUACCGGAUAAUAUAUUGAACCGCAUGGUUCAAUAGUGAAAGACGGUUUUGCUGUCACUUAUAGCUGGAUCCGCGCCGCAUUAGCUGGUUGGUAAGGUAACGGCUUACCAAGGCAACGAUGCGUAGCCGACGGGAGAGGGUGAUCGCCCACACGGGAGCGUAGACACGGUCCAGAGUCCUGCGGGAGGCAGCAGUAGGGAAUCUUCCGCAAUGGGCGAAAGCCUGACGGAGCAACGCCGCGUGAGUGAUGAAGGUCUUCGGAGCGUAAAACUCUGUUAUUAGGGAAGAACAAAUGUGUAAGGAACUAUGCACGUCGUGACGGUACCUAAUCAGAAAGCCACGGCUAACUACGUG